CCCUCUUUCCACCGCCCUAGUAUAUACUUUCAGUUGGGGCAACUACGGAGCAGAACAAAAACUCCACGGACGAACGUCUAAUACACGCAGUACUUCAGGCUGCCACGCCACACACCCCAGACCUUAGACCCAGUCUAACUGAGCAACGGACCAAGUUACCCUAGGGAUAACAGCGCUAUCUUCCCCCCAGAGCCCAUAUCCACGGGGAGGCUUACGACCUCGAUGUUGGAUCAGGACCCCCCGGCGGUGCAGCCGCUGCCAAAGGUUCGUUUGUUCAACGACUAACGUCCU
RNAcentral lists this ribosomal RNA (291 nucleotides) under Lygodactylus madagascariensis. Its description in RNAcentral is "partial large subunit ribosomal RNA". The stretch from base 166 to 291 matches the Rfam family "Bacterial large subunit ribosomal RNA", at positions 2473 to 2597 of the family's 2925-position model. The record is from RNAcentral. Lineage: Eukaryota; Metazoa; Chordata; Lepidosauria; Squamata; Gekkonidae.